GACGAACCGAGCGAACGUUAUUCGGAAUCACUGGGCUUAAAGGGCGCGUAGGCGGGUUUGCAAGUCCGUGGUGAAAUCCUCCAGCUCAACUGGAGAACUGCCGCGGAUACUGUGAGUCUCGAGGGAGGUAGGGGCGUGCGGAACAGAUGGUGGAGCGGUGAAAUGCGUAGAUAUCGGGAGGAACGCCAGUGGCGAAGGCGGUCAUCUGGGCCGUCCCUGACGCUGAGACGCGAAAGCUGGGGGAGCAAACGGGAUUAGAA
RNAcentral lists this ribosomal RNA (260 nucleotides) under uncultured bacterium. Its description in RNAcentral is "partial 16S ribosomal RNA". It matches the Rfam family "Bacterial small subunit ribosomal RNA", at positions 524 to 783 of the family's 1533-position model. The record is from RNAcentral.